Molecule: ribosomal RNA, 266 nt
Filed under: uncultured bacterium
Lineage: Bacteria
Description: partial 16S ribosomal RNA
Rfam family: Bacterial small subunit ribosomal RNA
Source: RNAcentral
GAACUCCACGGGGCGCAGCAGUGGGGGAUAUUGCACAAUGGGGGAAACCCUGAUGCAGCGACGCCGCGUGAGUGAAGAAGUAUUUCGGUACGUAAAGCUCUAUCAGCAGGGAAGAAUAAUGACGGUACCUGACUAAGAAGCCCCGGCUAACUACGUGCCAGCAGCCGCGGUAAUACGUAGGGGGCAAGCGUUAUCCGGAUUUACUGCGUGUAAAGGGAGCGUAGACGGCUGUGCAAGUCUGAAGUGAAAUGCCGGGGCUCAAACCC